This 65-nucleotide transfer RNA is filed under the name Dipodomys ordii (Ord's kangaroo rat). It matches the Rfam family "tRNA". From Rfam's summary of the family: Transfer RNA (tRNA) molecules are approximately 80 nucleotides in length. Lineage: Eukaryota; Metazoa; Chordata; Mammalia; Rodentia; Heteromyidae. The record is from Rfam by way of RNAcentral.
GGUGGCUUAGUGGUAGAGUGUUUGUCUUGCAUGCAUGAGGCCCUGGGUUCGAUUCCCCAGCACCA